UGAAUACAUAGGUUAACGAGGCGAACCGGGGGAACUGAAACAUCUAAGUACCCCGAGGAAAAGAAAUCAACCGAGAUUCCCCCAGUAGCGGCGAGCGAACGGGGAGCAGCCCGGAGUCUGAAUCAGCGUGUGUGUUAGUGGAACGGUCUGGAAAGUCCGACGGUACAGGGUGAUAGUCCCGUACACGAAAAUGCACAUGCUGUGAACUCGAAGAGUAGGGCGGGACACGUGGUAUCCUGUCUGAAUAUGGGGGGA
This 255-nucleotide ribosomal RNA is filed under the name Enterobacter hormaechei. Its description in RNAcentral is "partial 23S ribosomal RNA". It matches the Rfam family "Bacterial large subunit ribosomal RNA", at positions 159 to 452 of the family's 2925-position model. The record is from RNAcentral. Lineage: Bacteria; Pseudomonadati; Pseudomonadota; Gammaproteobacteria; Enterobacterales; Enterobacteriaceae.